CACGUAGUUAGCCGGUGCUUCUUUACCCAUUACCGUCACUCACGCUUCGUCACAGGCGAAAGCGGUUUACAACCCGAAGGCCGUCAUCCCGCACGCGGCGUUGCUGCAUCAGGCUUCCGCCCAUUGUGCAAUAUUCCCCACUGCUGCCUCCCGUAGGAGUCUGGGCCGUAUCUCAGUCCCAAUGUGGCCGGUCACCCUCUCAGGCCGGCUACCCGUCAAAGCCUUGGUAAGCCACUACCCCACCAACAAGCUGAUAAGCCGCGAGUCCAUCCCCAACCGCCGAAACUUUCCAACCCCCACCAUGCAGCAGGAGCUCCUAUCCGGUAUUAGCCCCAGUUUCCUGAAGUUAUCCCAAAGUCAAGGGCAGGUUACUCACGUGUUACUCACCCGUUCGCCACUCGAGCACCCCACAAAAGCAGGGCCUUUCCGUUCGACUUGCAUGUGUUAAGCACGCCGCCAGCGUUCGUCCUGAGCCAGGAUCAAACUCU
Molecule: ribosomal RNA, 488 nt
Filed under: uncultured Propionibacterium sp.
Lineage: Bacteria; Bacillati; Actinomycetota; Actinomycetes; Propionibacteriales; Propionibacteriaceae
Description: partial 16S ribosomal RNA
Source: RNAcentral